Molecule: long non-coding RNA, 707 nt
Organism: Esox lucius (northern pike)
Lineage: Eukaryota; Metazoa; Chordata; Actinopteri; Esociformes; Esocidae
Source: Ensembl
GUCUUUAAGUCCUGUAAGUUGCGAGGUGGGGCCUCCAUGGAUCGGACCUGUUUGUCCAGGACAUCCCACAUAUGCUCGAUUGGAUUGAGAUCUGAGGAAUUUGGAGGCCAAGUCAACACCUUUAACUCCUUGUUUGGUUCCUCAAACCAUUCCUGAACCAUUUUUGCUUUGUAGCAGGGCACAUUGUUAGAAAAUUAUUUAGCUUCAAAUGACCAUUCUGUAAUAAUAAAUCUGAUUGCCUUGACAAAUCAAGCAAGCCUCCUCUACCUCCAGCCAACAUGCUACUUUUAAUCAACCGCAUUCAUUCAGUCUCGCAACUAGUGAUUUCUGGAUGCCCAACAACCUGCCUCCUACACCCCAUCACCUACUUUCUUCUCCAUACACUCUCUGAAGGCCUCCCAUUCUUCACUUCAACUCACUGACCACUGGCUGCGUUCCCUCGAAAAUCCAGAAAGCAACACUUGACCAUCUGAUGUCAAAAACAACAGACAGCUAUUCAGAUUCUCCUCCGUCUCUGGACUGUGGGCUUCUCAGGCUCUGCACACACUUAGAUUGCUCACUACCUGGGAGGCCGCCCCCGUUCCAGGUGUUCACGAGAGGAUCUGCUCUGCGGGCUGUCACUACUGUGUCCCUAGACUUCGGUUCUAUGCACUUACAACUACUGGCUCUAUUUAUCCCAGCUUGCUAUCUUAAAAUGAAUGCACGCC